Small nucleolar RNA from Oncorhynchus kisutch (coho salmon), 83 nucleotides. Lineage: Eukaryota; Metazoa; Chordata; Actinopteri; Salmoniformes; Salmonidae. The record is from Ensembl.
UCUUUGUCAAUGAUGUAUUCUGUAAAAAUGUCUGAACUUAUGAAUUUCAGUGAUUCUGAUUAAUUUUUUAACUGAGACAAAGA